GUUGCGGGGCCGCGGCGGCGGCGCCAUGUUGCCGAGGGGGGCGGGGCCGGGACAUGGCGGCGACUGCGCGUGUUGAGGCUGAUUGUUCCUAGCUAGGCCGCGGCCAUGUGGGAGCCGCUGUGGCCGCCGGCCGUGCGGGCGAGAAAAUGCGCGGCCCGAAAGCGAGGACGCGCUGUACUAAACAAGCAAGCACUAGGGGAAAAAACUUCAAAGGUCGAUGCUACAGAAUUUGCCCUGAAGAAUAAAGAUUUGUUGUAUGAAAGGAUGGGCAACAGUUCAUUGGUUUAG
This 288-nucleotide long non-coding RNA is filed under the name Pogona vitticeps (central bearded dragon). RNAcentral's name for it is "lncRNA (ENSPVIG00000014051.1)". Lineage: Eukaryota; Metazoa; Chordata; Lepidosauria; Squamata; Agamidae. The record is from RNAcentral.